Molecule: long non-coding RNA, 360 nt
Organism: Mytilus californianus (California mussel)
Lineage: Eukaryota; Metazoa; Mollusca; Bivalvia; Mytilida; Mytilidae
Exons: 3
Source: RefSeq, a predicted model, not a curated record
UUUACCAAGAAAUCACAUGAUAAAGUUAUAUUUCGCUUUAUAUGAAAUAGUUUCAGGUCUAUAUAGAACAUCACAAACUGUUUGAAAUCAUCAAGUAACACUUAAGACACCAGUGAAAGCAUAGGCGCAUACCUCUUGUUGUCAAAAAAAACCCCAACUAAAUAUGAAAAGGCAAUCUUAUGGAUGGCCAGAUGAUGACGAUGAUGAUGAUGAUGAGUGUGUUAUACAAUGACACUUGCUCAUUGGAUAUGUUUCAACAACAUGAGAAGAGUUCCAGCUGAAGUAUUUUUUUGAAACAUUUCGGAACAUAUAACCAAGUUAUGUGAAACAUAUUAGUAUAAUAAAACUGUUCAACAUGUA